This 497-nucleotide ribosomal RNA is filed under the name uncultured bacterium. RNAcentral's name for it is "partial 16S ribosomal RNA". It matches the Rfam family "Bacterial small subunit ribosomal RNA", at positions 28 to 507 of the family's 1533-position model. The record is from RNAcentral.
GAUGAACGCUGGCGGCGUGCCUAAUACAUGCAAGUCGAGCGAACAGACGAGGAGCUUGCUCCUCUGACGUUAGCGGCGGACGGGUGAGUAACACGUGGAUAACCUACCUAUAAGACUGGGAUAACUUCGGGAAACCGGAGCUAAUACCGGAUAAUAUAUUGAACCGCAUGGUUCAAUAGUGAAAGACGGUUUUGCUGUCACUUAUAGAUGGAUCCGCGCCGCAUUAGCUAGUUGGUAAGGUAACGGCUUACCAAGGCAACGAUGCGUAGCCGACCUGAGAGAGUUGUCGCCCAUACUGGAACUGAGCCACGGUCCAGACUCCUACGAGAGGCAGCAUUAGGGAAUCUUCCGCAAUGCGCGAAAGCCUGACGGAGCAACGCCGCGUGAGUGAUGAAGCUCUUCGUAUCGUAAAACUCUGUUAUUAGGGAAGAAAAAAUGUGUAAGUAACUAUGCACGUCUUGACGGUACCUAAUCAGAAAGCCACGGCUAACUACGUG